CCGGUGCUUAUUCUUCCGGUACCGUCAUCCCCCGGCAUAUUAGGACCAGGGAUUUCUUUCCGGACAAAAGUGCUUUACAACCCGAAGGCCUUCUUCACACACGCGGGAUUGCUGGAUCAGGCUUUCGCCCAUUGUCCAAAAUUCCCCACUGCUGCCUCCCGUAGGAGUCUGGGCCGUGUCUCAGUCCCAGUGUGGCUGGUCGUCCUCUCAGACCAGCUACGGAUCGUCGCCUUGGUGAGCCUUUACCUCACCAACUAGCUAAUCCGCCAUCGGCCGCCCCUAUAGCGCGAGGUCCGAAGAUCCCCCGCUUUCAUCCGUAGAUCGUAUGCGGUAUUAAUCCGGCUUUUCGGCGGGCUAUCCCCCACUACAGGACACGUUCCGAUGUAUUACUCAACCCGUUCGGCAACUCGACACCAGGGUGGAAGCACCCGUGCUGCCGUUCCGAUUUGGAUUUUUUAUGGAUGCGCAGCAAU
This 473-nucleotide ribosomal RNA is filed under the name Burkholderia sp. RASC. RNAcentral describes it as "partial small subunit ribosomal RNA". Lineage: Bacteria; Pseudomonadati; Pseudomonadota; Betaproteobacteria; Burkholderiales; Burkholderiaceae. The record is from RNAcentral.